RNAcentral lists this ribosomal RNA (397 nucleotides) under uncultured bacterium. Its description in RNAcentral is "partial 16S ribosomal RNA". It matches the Rfam family "Bacterial small subunit ribosomal RNA", at positions 523 to 918 of the family's 1533-position model. The record is from RNAcentral.
GUACGUAGGGGGCGAGCGUUGUCCGGAAUGAUUGGGCGUAAAGGGCGCGUAGGCGGCCCGGUAAGUCUGGAGUGAAAGUCCUGUUUUUAAGAUGGGAAUUGCUUUGGAUACUGUCGGGCUUGAGUGCAGGAGAGGUAAGUGGAAUUCCCAGUGUAGCGGUGAAAUGCGUAGAGAUUGGGAGGAACACCAGUGGCGAAGGCGACUUACUGGACUGUAACUGACGCUGAGGCGCGAAAGUGUGGGGAGCAAACAGGAUUAUAUACCCUGGUAGUCCACACCGUAAACGAUGAAUGCUAGGUGUAGGGGGUAUCGACCCCUGCUGUGCCGCAGUCAACACAAUAAGCAUUCCGCCUGGGGAGUACGGCCGCAAGGUUGAAACUCAAAGGAAUUGACGGGG